GGCCGGCCGGCCGGCGAGGAGCUACCGGCCUCCUGCUCAGGCUCAAGGAGGCGAGGAGAAACUGAUCGGGACGCCGAACUGGUUAGCGGCGGCAGGUUCCAAGCCCACCGGGCCGGGUCCGGGCCGAGCUCCACGGCAGCAAGUUUGGCGCUGGAGCAACAGGAGUCACAUGCAGAGCCCUAGAUGUGAUAGGUGGGGUCCUCCUGCCUCCCCAGCGUUGGUGGCUGGAGGAAGGUGGGAGUUGAGAGGGUUUGGAGGACUGGACUAUCUGACCAGAGCCUGGGAUUUCUAAAAAUGAAGUUACUUCGCUGUCUCCACUUCCUUCUUCAGAAUCCCCAAGCCAUAUUUUUCCUGGGCAUCCUAAAACUCCCAGAAAUCCAUCACCCUCCUUCUAUACCUGAUCCCAAAAGAAAUUGCCCUUCCCAUAGCUGUGCAUCUGGGAAACUAUUGCUUUCUAGUUUCGUGUCUCUGUAGUUGGAAGAAGAAGGAAAUAUAGAGUGAAACAAAGUAGGGACCUUCCAUUUUGCUGGCCUCAGUU
Molecule: long non-coding RNA, 538 nt
Filed under: Mus pahari (shrew mouse)
Lineage: Eukaryota; Metazoa; Chordata; Mammalia; Rodentia; Muridae
Description: predicted gene 11536 (MGP_PahariEiJ_G0002605.1)
Source: RNAcentral